GACUCUCGACAACGGAUAUCUCGGCUCUCGCAUCGAUGAAGAACGUAGUGAAAUGCGAUACUUGGUGUGAAUUGCAGAAUCCCGUGAACCAUCGAGUCUUUGAACGCAAGUUGCGCCCGAAGCCUUCUGGCCGAGGGCACGUCUGCCUGGGCGUCU
Molecule: ribosomal RNA, 156 nt
Filed under: Cornus canadensis (Canadian bunchberry)
Lineage: Eukaryota; Viridiplantae; Streptophyta; Magnoliopsida; Cornales; Cornaceae
Description: 5.8S ribosomal RNA
Rfam family: 5.8S ribosomal RNA
About the family: 5.8S ribosomal RNA (5.8S rRNA) is a component of the large subunit of the eukaryotic ribosome. It is transcribed by RNA polymerase I as part of the 45S precursor that also contains 18S and 28S rRNA.
Source: RNAcentral